UGGGGAAUAUUGCACAAUGGAGGGAACUCUGAUGCAGCGACGCCGCGUGAACGCAGAAGGCUUUCGAGUCGUAAAGUUCUUUUAUAUGGGAAGAUAAUGACGGUACCAUAAGAAGAAGCCCCGGCUAACUACGUGCUAGAAGCCGCGGUAAUACGUAGGGGGCUAGCGUUGUCCGGAAUCACUGGGCGUAAAGGGUUCGCAGGCGGAAAUGCAAGUCCGGUGUAAAAGGCAGUAGCUUAACUACUGUAAGCAUUUGAAACUGCAUAUCUUGAGAAGAGUAGAAGUAAGUGGAAUUUUUAGUGUAGCGGUGAAAUGCGUAGAUAUUAAAAAGAAUACCGGUGACGGAGGCGACUUACUGGGCUCAUUCUGACGCUGAGGAACGAAAGCGUGGGUAGCAAACAGG
Molecule: ribosomal RNA, 403 nt
Filed under: bacterium
Lineage: Bacteria
Description: partial 16S ribosomal RNA
Rfam family: Bacterial small subunit ribosomal RNA
Source: RNAcentral